This 301-nucleotide ribosomal RNA is filed under the name uncultured bacterium. RNAcentral describes it as "partial 16S ribosomal RNA". It matches the Rfam family "Bacterial small subunit ribosomal RNA", at positions 509 to 809 of the family's 1533-position model. The record is from RNAcentral.
CAGUCGCCGCGGUAAUACGAAGGGUGCAAGCGUUAAUCGGAAUUACUGGGCGUAAAGCGUGCGUAGGCGGUUUGUUAAGUCUGUUGUGAAAUCCCCGGGCUCAACCUGGGAAUGGCAAUGGAUACUGGCAAGCUAGAGUGUGUCAGAGGAUGGUGGAAUUCCCGGUGUAGCGGUGAAAUGCGUAGAGAUCGGGAGGAACAUCAGUGGCGAAGGCGGCCAUCUGGGACAACACUGACGCUGAGGCACGAAAGCGUGGGGAGCAAACAGGAUUAGAGACCCCUGUAGUCCCUGUCUCUUAUAA